GCCGGCGGAAGAAUUGCAGUUAAGGAACUAGGCAAAUUGACCCCGUAAGUUCGCGAGAAGGGGUGCCUGCGAGAGCAGGCCGCAGAGAAUAGGCCCAAGCAACUGUUUAGCAAAAACACAGGUCUCUGCUAAAGCGUAAGCUGAUGUAUAGGGGCUGACGCCUGCCGGGUGCUGGAAGGUUAAGGAGAACACUUAGCGCAAGCGAAGGUGUGAACUUAAGCCCCAGUAAACGGCGGCCGUAACAAUAACGGUCCUAAGGUAGCGAAAUUCCUUGUCAGGUAAGUUCUGACCCGCACGAAUGGCGUAAUGACUUGGGCACUGUCUCAACUGCAAAUCCGGCGAAGUUGUAGUGCGAGUGAAGAUGCUCGCUACCCGCGAUUGGACGGAAAGACCCCGUAGAGCUUUACUGUAGCUUAGCAUUGAAUUCCGGUAUUGUCUGUACAGGAUAGGUGGGAGACUGGGAAACUAGGGCGUCAGCCUUAGUGGAGUCAACCUUGGGAUACCACCCUGACAGUACUGAGGUUCUAACAGGACGCCAUGAAACUGGUGACUGGACAUUGUUAGGUGGGCAGUUUGACUGGGGCGGUCGCCUCCUAAAAAGUAACGGAGGCGCCCAAAGGUUCCCUCAGAACGGUCGGAAAUCGUUCGUAGAGUGCAAAGGCAGAAGGGAGCCUGACUGCGAGACCUACAAGUCGAGCAGGGACGAAAGUCGGGCUUAGUGAUCCGGUGGUACCUCGUGGGAGGGCCAUCGCUCAACGGAUAAAAGCUACCUCGGGGAUAACAGGCUGAUCUCCCCCAAGAGUCCACAUCAACGGGGAGGUUUGGCACCUCGAUGUCGGCUCGUCGCGUCCUGGGGCUGUAGUAGGUCCCAAGGGUUGGGCUGUUCGCCCAUUAAAGCGGCACGCGAGCUGGGUUCAGAACGUCGUGAGACAGUUCGGUCCCUAUCCGUCGCGGUCGUAGGAAAUUUGAGAGGAGCUGUCCUUAGUACGAGAGGACCGGGAUGGACUGACCUCUGGUGCACCAGUUGUUCUGCCAAGAGCAUGGCUGGGUAGCUAAGUCGGGAAGGGAUAAACGCUGAAAGCAUCUAAGCGUGAAGCCCCCCUCAAGAUGAGAUUUCCCAUAGCAUAAGCUAGUAAGACCCCUUGAAGAACACAAGGUUGAUAGGUCAGAGGUGGAAGUGCGGUAACGUAUGUAGCUGACUGAUACUAAUAGGUCGAGGGCUUGAUC
This 1227-nucleotide ribosomal RNA is filed under the name metagenome. RNAcentral's name for it is "bacterial LSU rRNA". It matches the Rfam family "Bacterial large subunit ribosomal RNA", at positions 1686 to 2925 of the family's 2925-position model. The record is from RNAcentral.